Molecule: long non-coding RNA, 936 nt
Filed under: Olea europaea (common olive)
Lineage: Eukaryota; Viridiplantae; Streptophyta; Magnoliopsida; Lamiales; Oleaceae
Description: long non-coding RNA (OEUR_LNC003253)
Source: RNAcentral
CUUAAUGAUCUGGGAGUUGUAUGGAGAUACAAUUGAUAAUAGUAUCUACCCAAAUAUUAUAUUAGGGCUUGUUGAGUACACUCAAGGUCUUAAUAUAAUAGAUGGGAUCCCAGCCCACUUGGAGUCAAGCAUGGACUCUAUAAAUUUAUGUGAGAGGGUCAUAAAUUUUAUUUAAACAGUGAGAGCAUAAUUAAUUUAAUAAAAGACCAUAUUAAAUUAAUUGAUGCAUUUUAUAUAUAUUAUUCUUUCUUUUUCGUCAUUUAUGUUUAUUGAAUCUGAGUAACCACAUGUUUUGAAUGGCAUACUAGAUGCCAACAACCAAACUAUAUUUUCUUAAUUGACAUUGUAAUUUGAGAAUUGUUCUUAUGCAUGAGAAAAUUGGUCACGUCCUUGAGUAGCCAUUUCCAGAUACACCUGUUGAUGACUCGAUUAAAGAAGAGGUGGCUACUAUAGUAAACACAGUGAUGAUAAUAGUACUGCAACAUAUGUGAUACUUGCAACUAUGUCACUGAGUUACAAAAGCAACCUGAGAGUAUAGAUGUUAACACAUAAUUCUUCAUUACAAAGAGUUGUAUGAUAAUAAUCAUGUGUGGAAGGAUAUGAAACUUCCAAACAACUAUACCGGUGCAAAAUGAUAGAGUAAUCUUCAAUCGAUGCUUAGACACUGAAGAUGAUUAACGUUGAGAAAUGUCUCAACUCUAUUCAAUCAUAAACCAUGAACUAAGUGGUGACUUGGUCUUGUAAUCUCUGUCAGCUAAAGCUAUUCACAACUAAUUAUGAAUUUAACGUGAAUGAGCUCGAAUGCAGAAAUAUUGAGUUGCUUAACAUGCUUAGGACUGUUAACCCCUUUAUCGAAGUUGGUAGUGGGCAAACCAUUGAUUCCUUUAAAGAUAUUAAGAGGAAGUCUAAAGGGGCUUUGUGAAAGCACCCAAUAUG